UGGGGAAUCUUCCGCAAUGGGCGCAAGCCUGACGGAGCAACGCCGCGUGAGUGAAGAAGGGUUUCGACUCGUAAAGCUCUGUUGUCGGGGACGAAUGUGGAGAUGGUGAAUAACUAUUUUCAAUGACGGUACCUGACGAGGAAGCCACGGCUAACUACGUGCCAGCAGCCGCGGUAAUACGUAGGUGGCGAGCGUUGUCCGGAAUUAUUGGGCGUAAAGGGAGCGCAGGCGGGAAGGUAAGUCUAUCUUAAAAGUGCGGGGCUCAACCCCGUGAGGGGAUGGAAACUAUCUUUCUUGAGUGCAGGAGAGGAAAGCGGAAUUCCUAGUGUAGCGGUGAAAUGCGUAAG
This 347-nucleotide ribosomal RNA is filed under the name uncultured Mitsuokella sp. Its description in RNAcentral is "bacterial SSU rRNA". It matches the Rfam family "Bacterial small subunit ribosomal RNA", at positions 355 to 694 of the family's 1533-position model. Lineage: Bacteria; Bacillati; Bacillota; Negativicutes; Selenomonadales; Selenomonadaceae. The record is from RNAcentral.